AUUGGGGUGAAGUCGUAACAAGGUAGCCGUAGGAGAACCUGCGGCUGGAUCACCUCCUUUCUAUGGAGAAA
RNAcentral lists this ribosomal RNA (71 nucleotides) under Clostridium beijerinckii. Its description in RNAcentral is "partial 16S ribosomal RNA". The stretch from base 1 to 60 matches the Rfam family "Bacterial small subunit ribosomal RNA", at positions 1474 to 1533 of the family's 1533-position model. Lineage: Bacteria; Bacillati; Bacillota; Clostridia; Eubacteriales; Clostridiaceae. The record is from RNAcentral.